Neltuma alba is the source of this 295-nucleotide long non-coding RNA. RefSeq lists it as uncharacterized. The transcript has 2 exons. NCBI's taxonomy places the organism in Eukaryota, Viridiplantae, Streptophyta, Magnoliopsida, Fabales, Fabaceae. The record is from RefSeq and is a predicted model, not a curated record.
UGCGUCCCUGACAUUCUGAGCUUCCCAGGCACUAGGAAGAGACGAUUGUGUCUCGCUGGAACAAUUCGUCUCAAUUAAAGUUGGACGCUACUUUCCUCGCACCUCUCAAAGGACGCUAGAAAGUUAAGAACUGUUCCCUGCUUUCAUGAUAGAUAUAUUGAUUGAUUUAAUGAUAUUUAAGCACUAGCUAUUAAUGUGCAUAAUCUUUGGGGAGAAAGGCCUUAUUAGCAGGACUAUAGCGAUCUCUUUUAAUCAUUGCUUCAUAUGAUUAUGCUACUGGAGUUUUUCUUGUCUA